CAGGUGGCCGGUCGGCAUCCCCACUGAAAGGACAGCUGAGGAGAAAGCAGGAGAGAGAGACAGACGUGUAGUGAAUCUAAGCUCUGAGGUGGAUAAAGGGAUGGAAGUGUGGAGGGAGAAACGGGAAGAAGCUAAAAGGAUGGAGGAACGCAAUAAAUCUCUUCUGCUAAAACCCAAAGGGAACCUUUUAUUGAAGAAAAAUAAAUAAGAAAUCAUAUUUUCCGUUCUAGCUUACAUUACUUAUUAACAAAAUGGUGGAGUUGGUGUAUGGCUUUGUCUUGCUGUUAUUGUUUGUAGUACUUAUUUUGCCCUUUUCAAUGUUUUUCAAAAAUAAACUUUAAUGUAUAUCCACAA
Molecule: long non-coding RNA, 354 nt
Organism: Salvelinus namaycush (lake trout)
Lineage: Eukaryota; Metazoa; Chordata; Actinopteri; Salmoniformes; Salmonidae
Exons: 2
Source: RefSeq, a predicted model, not a curated record